GUGCUCGCUUUGGCAGCACAUCUACUAAAAUUAGAACAAUAGAGAGAAGCUUAGCAAGGCCCCUGUGCAAGGAUGACAUGCAAAUUCGUGAAGCGUUCCAUAUUUUA
Molecule: small nuclear RNA, 107 nt
Organism: Jaculus jaculus (lesser Egyptian jerboa)
Lineage: Eukaryota; Metazoa; Chordata; Mammalia; Rodentia; Dipodidae
Source: Ensembl